RNAcentral lists this ribosomal RNA (301 nucleotides) under uncultured bacterium. RNAcentral's name for it is "partial 16S ribosomal RNA". It matches the Rfam family "Bacterial small subunit ribosomal RNA", at positions 509 to 807 of the family's 1533-position model. The record is from RNAcentral.
CAGCAGCCGCGGGAAUACGAAGGGUGCAAGCGUUAAUCGGAAUUACUGGGCGUAAAGCGUGCGUAGGCGGUGAGUUAAGUCUGCUGUGAAAUCCCCGGGCUCAACCUGGGAAUGGCAGUGGAUACUGGCUCGCUAGAGUGUGUCAGAGGAUGGUGGAAUUCCCGGUGUAGCGGUGAAAUGCGUAGAGAUCGGGAGGAACAUCAGUGGCAAAGGCGGCCAUCUGGGACAACACUGACGCUGAGGCACGAAAGCGUGGGGAGCAAACAGGAUUAGAUACCCCGGUAGUCCCUGUCUCUUAUAC